RNAcentral lists this ribosomal RNA (494 nucleotides) under uncultured bacterium. RNAcentral describes it as "partial 16S ribosomal RNA". It matches the Rfam family "Bacterial small subunit ribosomal RNA", at positions 28 to 507 of the family's 1533-position model. The record is from RNAcentral.
GACGAACGCUGGCGGCGUGCUUAACACAUGCAAGUCGAACGGAAAGGCCUGCUUUCCCUUGUGGAUUGCGGGUACUCGAGUGGCGAACGGGUGAGUAACACGUGUGUGAUUUGCACCCAACUUGGGUAUAAGACCGGGAACCUGGGUCUAAUUCUCGAUAGAACUGCAGGGUGGUGUAUGUGGUGGCAAACGUUCUUCUAGUGGUUGGGGAUGAGCUCGCGGAGUAUCAGCUUGUUGGUGGGGUAAUGGCCGACCAAGGCGGCGACGGGUAGCCGGCCUGGGAGGGUGGACGACGGCAUUGAGACUGGGAUACGACCCAGACUCCUACGAGAAGCAGCAGUGGGGAAGAUAGCAGAAAAGGCGGAAGGCUGAAGCGGCGACUGAGCGAGGAAGAUCACGGGCUUCGAGUAGUAAACUCCUUUCGACCACGAAAUAGCCACCUGAUUAGACACGUGGUGACGGUAGUUAUAGAAGAAGCACCGGCUAACUACGUG